Molecule: long non-coding RNA, 870 nt
Organism: Amphiprion ocellaris (clown anemonefish)
Lineage: Eukaryota; Metazoa; Chordata; Actinopteri; Pomacentridae
Exons: 4
Source: RefSeq, a predicted model, not a curated record
CAACAUUGCUGCUCCUGAAAGUGUAUUUAAGAGAAGCUCCACGUUCAGAGCAGCACUACAACAACCUCCCUGACCAUCUGUGAGACAGUCUGCUGAAGCUAAGACCUGACGGUGUGAUCACUGAAACCAUGCUGAAGGUAGCACUUGUUCUUGGAUGCCUCCUGAGCCUCGUUCUGGCCAAUCCUAUAGACAGAGGGCACAAACGACUUGCCCGUUCAAGCCCUGGUUCUACAUCUGAUGAGGCUACCACUACAACUGCUACUACAACUACUGCUGCUGGUGCUGUUGCUGCUGCAGUCUUGUCUCCAGCACAAAUGCUCCAGCUUAUUAAUAGCCUCUUACAAGGAUAAUAAUCUUUGGAGCGCUUUUCAAAUUCCAAGUCACAAAGUCCUUUACAAGGCAGAAAAUUACACAGACAAGUCAUAAAAUCAUCAGGUUGAAACAAACAAACAAACAAAAAAACCCACUUCAGCAGAUGAAAACCAGUGCUGCAAAAAGGUAAAAAAGAUUUUUGAGAGAAAUCAAAGACAGUUCAAAUGAAAUUGAAUCUCAUGUAAUAUCAGGAAAGUAUGUUUUCAGAAGUAAACAGUAACAUCUUAGAAUGUGUCCUUAAACACACCUCCUGUUUCCUACUGCUGCUACAACUACUACAGCAGCAACGACUACAACAGCUGCUCCAUUCUAAUGUCUGAAAUGUAACCAGGAACCAAUAAGUGAAUGAAAACCAGUUUUAAGUGGAUUUUUAAUGUCAGCUUUAUUUCUUGUUGGCUUGAAAUGUUUGACUGAGAAUUUGCUCUAAUUUUCUCCUCUAAAAUUCAAAUCAUGUUUUUCACCUGACCGCACUGCCAAAUAAAGUUCAUAAAUUUAAAA